This 3601-nucleotide ribosomal RNA is filed under the name Triticum aestivum (bread wheat). RNAcentral's name for it is "partial small subunit ribosomal RNA". Lineage: Eukaryota; Viridiplantae; Streptophyta; Magnoliopsida; Poales; Poaceae. The record is from RNAcentral.
UUCCCUUACCUUAUCUCCCAGACUCUUCUAGCUACCGAUGUUCAAGCUCCACGAGAUAGACUCAGAAGGUGAGGUGCGGUCCGCUGUCCAGGGUUGUCGCUGCCGGCGGCGGCAAGGCUCAGUGUUGCAGGUUGCACCACCCUUGUCUGAUGCUCCCAAGCCUGGGCCUAAGUGUGUGAGCCGCUUCCAUGUCGUUGUUCCCCUCAAUUCGAGCUCCAUGAGAGACAAUCCCCACAAGGUGAGAUCCCAAGAACUGUUGUGGGUAGCACCACCCGCACGACCGCAUUCAAUGCACCCAAGCCCAGGCCUAAGUGCAGCUGCUCCCAUGGUCCAUGUUGUUGUCCCCUCCCCCACCUCGCCGGGUCAACCCGCUCCCAAGGUGAAGGACACGCGGCAAUCCAUGCGGGCGGUCAUCUCAUAAACCAAGAUCUGGUAGGAGCUCGUGUAGGCGCACUUCAAGGUGGGAGCUCGAUGCAAUCUCCACAAGCAGAGAGUCAAGGCCAGCAACAUACCCAUGGAAGAGGAAGUAUGAUGAUCCAUUUCCAUGAGGAAGAACGUUGAUGCUGAUCCACAGAAGGUAAUUCCUAUCGAUGGUAAUCUAUAGUCAUGUGUUCCACGGGGCUACAAUUUACAAUAGAGUAGAUAGGUAGAAGAAAGGGUGCAACCACGAAAAGGUUUUCGUGGGGAUAUGUCGUUACAUGGGAGAAAAAUAUAUUUUUUCUUCUGAUUUUCUCGAGCUUAACUGCAAUUAGAUAUAGGAGAUAUAUAAUAAUGAUGUGUUUAUGUGAUGGGGCUAAAGCUUUCAUCGGUUCGAGCGGCAGCCGACUUGUUCUCGCUAGUCUGCUUUUUCCCUCGCCGGUUGAGCUCUACAUUCUUGGCGGCAGUGCGGUGGUUUGUUUCUUUUACUUGCAUUAUGAUUUGUUGCUUGUGGCGUAGUUUCCUCCUGCAUUUGUCAUGUAUGUGGCUUUGGGUGGAUUCAUGUUUUUGUUAUGCCAUUGGUCUAGAGUUUGUUGAUUUCGUGUGGUUGGGUUGCGUGGCUGGUUGAAUCGUCUUAUGCCUACUUUGUUUGUUGUGUUCUUGCCAUGUUGGAUGAGUCAUGUACGUGGCGUGGGAGGAUUAAUAAGUGGGCAUCCCUGAAGAAUCUUUCCCUUCCAUUUUUUCUAUCUUGGGUUAGCUCCAUCCAUGUUUGCUGUUUGUGUUGGAAAUUUGGGUGCUUCCUAAUAAUGGUAGAUAUAUCACACGAGCUGGUGAGUAAUCAUGCUUGGCUUUGGGGAUGAGAAUCCCGAGAUCAACCUUGGGUUGGCCUCGCCAUCAUCGACGCACGUGCGGUGAUUCAUUAUUGAAGGUGUAGCCUAGGAAUUGUUUUUUUAAGGCAUAUAGCUCUUGGCCCAUCUAACCCAGCCCACCGGUGAGCACACAUUUCCGGCCACUCUUGGCGAGCUUCCAUUCUAAACCCUCCUUCUCCCCACCCCAUCUGUAGAAAAUGCUAGAGUGCAAAUUUAACGACACACGAGGGAUUGCUUCAGAUAUACUCGUUUUUUGAGCACCCAUAUACAAAUUUAACAAUAUCUCAUCAAUCGCUAAGCUCCCUGGUAUCGCUUGGGAAGCAAUUGAGGCUGUCGAAUCAAUCCUUCACGUUGAUUUUGACUCGGUCUUGGGCUGGGUUGUGUGGGGUCGGUCCCUCCCAGCACGCAUUAUCCUACGGGGCCAACGGGUGGCCAACACAUGUUCUACUAGGCCCCACCACUCAUAAAACUUAUUUUCAUUUUUUUUUCUUAUUUCGUUUCCCUUACCUUAUCUCCCGGACUCUUCCAGCUGCCGACGCUCGAGCUCCACAAGAUAGACUCAGAAGGUGAGGUGUGGUCCACUGUCCAUGGCUGUCGCUGCCGGUGGCGGCAAGGCUCACUGUUGCAGGUUGCACUACCCUUGUUCGGUGCUCCCAAGCCUGGGCCUAAGUUGUGGGAGCUGCUUCCAUGUCGUUGUUCCCCUCAAUUCGAGCUCCAUGAGAGACGAUCCCCACAAGGUGAGAUCCCAAGAACUGUUGUGGGUAGCACCACCCGCAUGACCGCAUUCAAUGCACCUAAGCCCAGGCCUAAGUGCAGUUGCUCCCAUGGUCCAUGCCGUUGUCCCCUCCCCCACCUCGCCAGGUCAACCCGCUCCCAAGGUGAAGGCCACACGGCAAUCCAUGCGGGCGGUCAUCUCGUAAACUAAGAUUUGGUAGGAGCUAGUGUAGGCGCACUUCAAGGUGGGAGCUCGAUGCAAUCUCCACAAGCAGAGGUGAGUGCUACCUGCAUAUGCUACUUCAUCUACCUCUAUACUACUGAAGUUGUAGAAACAGAGGAGGAGCAGAGUGUAUGCACAUAUGCACGUACUAAAGUUUGAUGUCCAUCCUCACCUAUCAGUUAUUCUUAGUUUUCAAACACACGAGUACAAGGAAAUCUACAAACUGGGUUCCACCUUUUUUGUAUCGAUCAUCUGUGUUUCCACCCGCCUCACCCACAGUUGUGGCCUCAUGAUCUGAACAUCACAUACCUAAUUAGUUCUACCGCUACUUGUUAAGACUAUGUUUAAAAAGUAUGUUCAUCAUAGAUUAAACUCUUUGUUUAUUCUUGCUUAAUUUUGUCUCCUCCAUACGAUAAAGUAAAGAUAAUUUGCAGAUUCAAGGCCAGCAACAUACCCGUGAAGAGGAAGUACGAUGAUCCAUUUCCAUGAGGAAGAUCGUAGAUGCUGAUCUACAGAAUGCAAUUCCUAUUAAUUGUAAUCUAUAGUCAUGUGUUCCACGGGGCUACAAUUUACAAUAGAGUAGAUAGGUAGAAGAAAGGGUGCAACCACGAAAAAAUUUCACGGGGAUAUGUCGUUACAUGGGAGAAAAAAAUUAUUUUUUUUCUUCCGAUUUUCUCGAGCUUAACUGCAAUUAGAUAUAGGAGAUAUAUAAUAAUGAUGCGUUUAUGUGAUGUACCCAAAGCUUUCGUCGGUUCGAGCGGCAGCCGGCCUGUUCUCGCAGGUCUGCUUUUUCCUCGCCGGUUGAGCUCUACAUUCUCGGCGGCAGUGUGGUGGUUUGUUCUUUUACUUGCAUUAUGAUUUGUUGCUUGUGGCGUAGUUUCCUCCUGCAUUUGUCAUGUAUGUGGCUUUGGGUGGAUUCAUGUUUUUGUUAUGCCAUUGGUCUAGAGUUUGUUGAUUUCGUGUGGUUGGGUUGCGUGGCUGGUUGAAUCGUCUUAUGCCUACUUUGUUUGUUGUGUUCUUGCCAGGUUGGAUGAGUCAUGUAUGCGGCGUGGGAGGAUUAAUAAGUGGGCAUCCCUGAAGAGAAUCUUUCCCUUCCAUUUUUUUUCUAUCUUGGAUUAGCUCCAUCCAUGUUUAUUGUUUGUGUUGGAAAUUUGGGUGCUUCCUAAUAAUGGUAGAUAUACCACAUGAGCUGGUGAGUAAUCAUGUUUGGCUUUGGGGAUGAGAAUUCCGAGACCAAGCUUGGGUUGGCCUCGCCAUCAUCGACGCACAUGCGGUGACUCAUUAUUGAAGGUGUAGCCUAAGAAUUGUGUAUUUUUUGAGUUUGUCUUUUAUCAGGAUUAGUGUUUGUCUGGUGGAGUUACACAAGGCAUGCGACCUC